AUAUUAAUCAAACUCCGAUCCUUAACGAUCUAAAUUUAUAAAAUUAAAUAUGAUCUUAAGGACUCAUAGCAUUUUAAAUUUGCUAUAAGGGUUUAAUCAGAAAUGAUUAGGCCUCCCGUAUUUGGAAAGGUGUUUAUGCAACUUCAAG
This 148-nucleotide non-coding RNA is filed under the name Moritella sp. PE36. RNAcentral describes it as "Molybdenum/Tungsten riboswitch aptamer (Moco RNA motif)". It matches the Rfam family "Molybdenum/Tungsten riboswitch aptamer (Moco RNA motif)". RNAcentral also lists the same sequence under 1 other name. The record is from Rfam by way of RNAcentral. Lineage: Bacteria; Pseudomonadati; Pseudomonadota; Gammaproteobacteria; Alteromonadales; Moritellaceae.